This 66-nucleotide transfer RNA is filed under the name Callitettix versicolor. Its description in RNAcentral is "tRNA-Ile". Lineage: Eukaryota; Metazoa; Arthropoda; Insecta; Hemiptera; Cercopidae. RNAcentral also lists the same sequence under 1 other name. The record is from RNAcentral.
AAUAAGAUGCCUGAGAAAAGGAUUAUUUUGAUGUAAUAAAUUACGUAAUAUAAAUUACUCUUAUUA